Molecule: transfer RNA, 90 nt
Filed under: Candidatus Zixiibacteriota bacterium
Lineage: Bacteria; Pseudomonadati; Candidatus Zixiibacteriota
Also listed under: 1 other name
Description: candidate division Zixibacteria bacterium tRNA-Ser
Rfam family: tRNA
About the family: Transfer RNA (tRNA) molecules are approximately 80 nucleotides in length. Their secondary structure includes four short double-helical elements and three loops (D, anti-codon, and T loops).
Source: RNAcentral
GGAGAGGUGGCCGAGUUGGCUUAAGGCAGCUGCCUGCUAAGCAGUUGUCCCGUUAAAUCGGGACCCCGGGUUCGAAUCCCGGCCUCUCCG